RNAcentral lists this ribosomal RNA (253 nucleotides) under uncultured bacterium. Its description in RNAcentral is "partial 16S ribosomal RNA". It matches the Rfam family "Bacterial small subunit ribosomal RNA", at positions 524 to 776 of the family's 1533-position model. The record is from RNAcentral.
GACAGAGGGUGCAAACGUUGUUCGGAAUUACUGGGCGUAAAGCGCGUGUAGGCUGUCUCGCAAGUCGGGUGUGAAAGCCUUGAGCUCAACUCAAGAAAUGCACUCGGUACUGGGUGACUAGAGGACCGGAGAGGAUAGUGGAAUUCCCAGUGUAGUGGUGAAAUACGUAGAGAUUGGGAAGAACACCAGUGGCGAAGGCGGCUAUCUGGACGGUUUCUGACGCUAAGACGCGAAAGCGUGGGGAGCAAACAGG